AACGAACGCUGGCGGCAUGCCUAACACAUGCAAGUCGAACGAGACCUUCGGGUCUAGUGGCGCACGGGUGCGUAACGCGUGGGAACCUGCCCUUAGGUUCGGAAUAACUCCCCGAAAGGGGUGCUAAUACCGGAUAAUGUCUUCGGACCAAAGAUUUAUCGCCUUUGGAUGGGCCCGCGUUGGAUUAGCUAGUUGGUAGGGUAAAAGCCUACCAAGGCGACGAUCCAUAGCUGGUCUGAGAGGAUGAUCAGCCACACUGGGACUGAGACACGGCCCAGACUCCUACGGGAGGCAGCAGUGGGGAAUAUUGGACAAUGGGCGAAAGCCUGAUCCAGCAAUGCCGCGUGAGUGAUGAAGGCCUUAGGGUUGUAAAGCUCUUUUACCCGGGAUGAUAAAGACAGUACCGGGAGAAUAAGCCCCGGCUAACUCCGUG
This 433-nucleotide ribosomal RNA is filed under the name uncultured bacterium. RNAcentral's name for it is "partial 16S ribosomal RNA". It matches the Rfam family "Bacterial small subunit ribosomal RNA", at positions 29 to 507 of the family's 1533-position model. The record is from RNAcentral.